GACGAACGCUGGCGGCGUGCCUAAUACAUGCAAGUCGAACGCACUCUCGUUUAGAUUGAAGGAGCUUGCUCCUGAUUGAUAAACAUUUGAGUGAGUGGCGGACGGGUGAGUAACACGUGGGUAACCUGCCCUAAAGUGGGGGAUAACAUUUGGAAACAGAUGCUAAUACCGCAUAAAACCUAACACCGCAUGGUGUAGGGUUGAAAGAUGGCUUCGGCUAUCACUUUAGGAUGGACCCGCGGUGCAUUAGUUAGUUGGUGAGGUAAAGGCUCACCAAGACCGUGAUGCAUAGCCGACCUGAGAGGGUAAUCGGCCACACUGGGACUGAGACACGGCCCAGACUCCUACGGGAGGCAGCAGUAGGGAAUCUUCCACAAUGGACGAAAGUCUGAUGGAGCAACGCCGCGUGAGUGAAGAAGGUUAUCGGAUCGUAAAACUCUGUUGUUGGAGAAGAAUGUAUCUGAUAGUAACUGAUCAGGUAGUGACGGUAUCCAACCAGAAAGCCACGGCUAACUACGUGCCAGCAGCCGCGGUAAUACGUAGGUAGCAAGCGUUGUCCGGAUUUAUUGGGCGUAAAGCGAGCGCAGGCGGUUUCUUAAGUCUGAUGUGAAAGCCUUCGGCUCAACCGAAGAAGUGCAUCGGAAACUGGGAAACUUGAGUGCAGAAGAGGACAGUGGAACUCCAUGUGUAGCGGUGAAAUGCGUAGAUAUAUGGAAGAACACCAGUGGCGAAGGCGGCUGUCUGGUCUGUAACUGACGCUGAGGCUCGAAAGCAUGGGUAGCAAACAGGAUUAGAUACCCUGGUAGUCCAUGCCGUAAACGAUGAGUGCUAGGUGUUGGAGGGUUUCCGCCCUUCAGUGCCGCAGCUAACGCAUUAAGCACUCCGCCUGGGGAGUACGACCGCAAGGUUGAAACUCAAAGGAAUUGACGGGGGCCCGCACAAGCGGUGGAGCAUGUGGUUUAAUUCGAAGCAACGCGAAGAACCUUACCAGGUCUUGACAUCCUUUGACCACUCUAGAGAUAGAGCUUUCCCUUCGGGGACAAAGUGACAGGUGGUGCAUGGUUGUCGUCAGCUCGUGUCGUGAGAUGUUGGGUUAAGUCCCGCAACGAGCGCAACCCUUAUUACUAGUUGCCAGCAUUAAGUUGGGCACUCUAGUGAGACUGCCGGUGACAAACCGGAGGAAGGUGGGGACGACGUCAAAUCAUCAUGCCCCUUAUGACCUGGGCUACACACGUGCUACAAUGGAUGGUACAACGAGUUGCGAGACCGCGAGGUUUAGCUAAUCUCUUAAAACCAUUCUCAGUUCGGAUUGUAGGCUGCAACUCGCCUACAUGAAGCCGGAAUCGCUAGUAAUCGCGGAUCAGCAUGCCGCGGUGAAUACGUUCCCGGGCCU
RNAcentral lists this ribosomal RNA (1393 nucleotides) under uncultured bacterium. Its description in RNAcentral is "16S ribosomal RNA". It matches the Rfam family "Bacterial small subunit ribosomal RNA", at positions 28 to 1381 of the family's 1533-position model. The record is from RNAcentral.